Molecule: ribosomal RNA, 253 nt
Filed under: uncultured bacterium
Lineage: Bacteria
Description: partial 16S ribosomal RNA
Rfam family: Bacterial small subunit ribosomal RNA
Source: RNAcentral
UACAGAGGGUGCAAGCGUUAAUCGGAAUUACUGGGCGUAAAGGGUGUGUAGGUGGUUGGAUAAGUUAGAUGUGAAAUCCCCGGGCUUAACCUGGGAACUGCGUUUAAAACUGUUUGACUAGAGUGCUGUAGAGGAUAGUGGAAUUUCCAGUGUAGCGGUGAAAUGCGUAGAUAUUGGAAGGAACACCAGUGGCGAAGGCGGCUAUCUGGACAGACACUGACACUGAGACACGAAAGCGUGGGGAGCAAACAGG